RNAcentral lists this transfer RNA (70 nucleotides) under Dolichoderus sibiricus. Its description in RNAcentral is "tRNA-His". Lineage: Eukaryota; Metazoa; Arthropoda; Insecta; Hymenoptera; Formicidae. The record is from RNAcentral.
GUUUAAGUAGUUUAAGUGAGAAUAUUAAUUUGUGGAAUUAAAGGUAUAUAGGUAAAAUGUAUCUUAGAUU